This 366-nucleotide long non-coding RNA is filed under the name Gossypium barbadense (sea-island cotton). RNAcentral's name for it is "long non-coding RNA (GBAR_LNC001413)". The record is from RNAcentral. Lineage: Eukaryota; Viridiplantae; Streptophyta; Magnoliopsida; Malvales; Malvaceae.
AAAAAUAGCUCGUAUCGAUAUAGGAAUCGUCACAGUGUGCUUCGGAUCUCUCCAUAUUAGGCUCCCAAAUCUAUAAUCUCCAUAUACUUUCCCAGUCGUGAAGAAAGUAACUUUAAAGGGUACAAUUUGGGUGGUUUUAUUGAACCUCAAUAUCUGGGGUUCUACUUUCAUCUUUAUACCUUGUGGAGCUUCCACAACAGCUUUAUAUAUUGACUCAACGGGUCCGACAUUCGUUACCUUUCGGCUCACUGUUACUUUUCUUUUCAGGUAUGGGAUGGUGAUGGAUGGAAGGUUGAGGUUCAACUCAUUUAGUCUAUUUUUGGUACAAUUGGCUUUGGUCUGGGUUAAACCACUCACAGACUUGCU